AUUGAACGCUGGCGGCAUGCUUUACACAUGCAAGUCGAACGGUAACAGGCCGCAAGGUGCUGACGAGUGGCGAACGGGUGAGUAACGCAUCGGAACGUGCCCAGUCGUGGGGGAUAACGCAGCGAAAGCUGUGCUAAUACCGCAUACGAUCUGUGGAUGAAAGCGGGGGACCGUAAGGCCUCGCGCGAUUGGAGCGGCCGAUGUCAGAUUGGGUAGUUGGUGGGGUACAGGCUCACCAAGCCGACGAUCUGUAGCUGGUCUGAGAGGACGACCCGCCACACUGGGACUGAGACACGGCCCAGACUCCUACGGGAGGCAGCAGUGGGGAAUUUUGGACAAUGGGCGCAAGCCUGAUCCAGCAAUGCCGCGUGCAGGAAGAAGGCCUUCGGGUUGUAAACUGCUUUUGUACGGAGCGAAAAGGCUCCCUCUAAUACAGGGGGCUCAUGACGGUACCGUAAGAAUAAGCACCGGCUAACUACGUGCCAGCAGCCGCCGCCG
RNAcentral lists this ribosomal RNA (498 nucleotides) under uncultured bacterium. Its description in RNAcentral is "partial 16S ribosomal RNA". It matches the Rfam family "Bacterial small subunit ribosomal RNA", at positions 29 to 523 of the family's 1533-position model. The record is from RNAcentral.